This 13893-nucleotide long non-coding RNA is filed under the name Solanum tuberosum (potato). Its description in RNAcentral is "long non-coding RNA (STUB_LNC001595)". Lineage: Eukaryota; Viridiplantae; Streptophyta; Magnoliopsida; Solanales; Solanaceae. The record is from RNAcentral.
AAAAAAAAAAAAAGGGUCCCAAUUGGGAGAAAUAUGAUUGGAAUGCCAAUUUAUCAAAGCGCAUAACAAUUAGCAUUUAGGUUGAAAGCGGUAACAAAUAGACAAUUUUAAGGAAUGCAGUAAAUAAAAAAAUAUAAAAAAAGCAUGCAAACACAUAGAUAAAUUAAGCAAAUAAGAAAAGGGAAUAGUGUUAAAACAUGGAGUACCCAAAUAAGGGAAAAGAAAAAGGACAAAACAUGAGAAUAAUCAAAUAAGAAAGAGGGAAAGGGACUAAAGCAUGAAAAUAACAAUAUUUAAGGAAAGCGAGUAAACAAGGAAAUCAAAUAAUUAAUUAGACAUGACAAUAACCAAACAAGCAAUGAAAUGACAAAUAAAGUAAACCCCACAUAAGAACGAAACACGUAAUGGUUAGAACCUAAUAUCCCCAGCAGAGUCACCAUUCUGUCACGCCCCGUUUUUUGCAAAACGGCUUUUGGUGCAGGACCUAACAACUCUUUUGGGCUUUGGAGGAUUGAAGAGUCGCCACCUAACGAAUUAAGGCGCGUUAGGGCACCUAUCUAACUUAGCUAAAUCUAACUAAGGGUCAACGAACCAGAGAUCAGCGUAAGGGUUCAAGUUACCUCGAGGGGAAGGUGUUAGGCAUCCCUCGAGAUCCACAAAUGUGGGUCCCGGCCGUAUCUCAUGCAAUUUAUGUGGAGGUUACAAGUAGCAUUUAAGGUCACUUCAUUUAUUGGUUAUUUAAACAUGUUUGCUAGGUGAUAACUAAUAAUAAACAAUUAGGACCAAUUAUUUAUUUGUUAUUUAAUUAAGCAUGUAAAACUAAGUGAUAACUUAACACUAAAUAAUUAACACAAAUAAAAUUUAAAAGAGAUAGCGAGAAGAUAGAAAGUAGACAAAUAUAUAAGCAAAUGUCACUUUUAUUUAAUUAAACUACCCCAAAUAAAUAUAACUAUAAAAAAACAAGUAAAGGGAGAAAUGAAAGGAAGACUCUGAUAGACUUUACGGAUCAGCACUCGACUUUCUUUAUUUCGGUCGGCUUCUUCUAGGGACAUACAAAACUAAGGUUUGUCAUUAAAACAAAAUCGAUGUCAUCAUCUCCGUAGGGCCUAAACUAUCCCUACCCCACCACCGCAUGCUUUCCGUCUCUAUAAGGUGCCUAGCGACCCCUGCUUAAGGUCCAAGAGGCAUUGGACUACUAUUAGAGUGGAUUUAGACAAAAAUAAAAUAUAUAAUUUCAAAUAGGCCCACCUAGACACCAAGUCAAAUAAAUAGAACAACACUUAACACGUAAAUCUCAUAUUGGCCUCUAGUUUUUUAUUUAUUUAGCAUCCUAGAAAACACACAUAAAGUGAAAGGUCUCAUGCUUAAAUGUGUGCAUAGACAAGCAAACACUCAAUAUAACAAAUAGAUUAAUUUUAAAUGGCCGAAAAUAUUACAAGUCAGGUAAAGCUUAUUAGACUGAUUUAAUUAGUAAUUAAUUUAAAAUGGGCACUUAUAAUAAGGCAAAUGGGCAAAAGUAUUUGAAAGCAAUAACAAAUUAUUAAUGCUGAACUGUUUAUUUCAAGUGGCAGCAAUUUAUUAGACUGAUUUUAAAGGUUGCAGAAAAUUAUUACAGAAAGCCGAUUUUAGUUACGGAUUGAUUUUUAAAAAAAGACAGAAAUAUUAUUGCAAGAGAGUGAUUUAAUAACUCUGUUUUAAAUGGUAGACAAAUUUAAUGUCGCACUUAACAUGCAGGAGAAGACAUUGAUUUAUUUUAAGUAGAAAUUACUUAUUUUAGAUAGAUAAUAUUCAUAACAGACUAAAAAAUAUAUACUGAAAAUUUAUUAGAAGCCUAUAAAUAUGUUAAUUAAGUGAUCAACAUGCUGAAAUUUUAUUAGAAACCUAAUAUAAAUUUAUUAACUGAAUAGCUUAAGUUACUAAAACAUGCAGAAAUUAUUCAAACUAACUAGUUAGCAUCAUCGAUUUUAUUGUUUUAGUCCUAUAGGCAUGAUUUCUAGAUAAGAAAUGAGAAGUCACUUGAAACCUAUAUGCAUAAUUUCUACACCCAAAUAAUAUAUUAAGAAUUAUGCAACUCCUAUUGGCAUGGUAUCUAAGUAUGCACAAGUUGAGAUUUAUUUUCUUAGGCAUGUAUUAAAACUAUUUAAACCUAUAUGCAUAAAUACUACACUAAAGUAACAUGUUUUAAAAUUAUUUAAAUCCCUAUUGACAUAUUUUCUAAAAUUGCAGAAUUAUUGUAAAAAUAAAUUAAGAUAAUAAUCACGCGUUAUUCAUUUAUUAUAUGUAAGGAGCUUGGUUUAAGUAAAUGAAGCAAGGAGCAGUCAUACAUUAUUUUUAUUUAUUAUUAGCGAUGAAGAAAGCGACCAUAUAAAUCAACUAAAGCAAGGUAUUUAACUACAUGGUUAAUUUUACACUAAAAUUAGGCAAGCUUUAAGUAGGUGAUUGGUGACAAGUAAUUGAUUUUAUUUUAGACAGAUCUUGAGUGCAAAUAUUAGAAUGGGAACGAUCAAACAGAACACACUCCUAUAGGCAUGCUUUCUAACAACAAGUAAGUUUGCGACAAAGUAGCAAUUAGCACAUAAACUCCCUCCCCUUGGACGAUCCCCAAGAUUAUUUCAUAUAUAUAGAGAGUGUUACUACAAAAAUUAUUACAACACCAAAUAAAAUAAUACAAAUAUUAUAAACACGAAUGAAAACUAGAUCCCAUCUGAAAGAUCCAUCCUUGGCGACUCUUCGAACUUGAAACCAAGUUCGAACCUGCUAAAGUGAGAUACAGACAUAUAUGUGGCAUACAAUAAUAUAAUAUAAUAAAACAAUAGCAUUAAUUACGGGCAGAUUCAACAUAUGCGCAUGUUCAUUUUAUACAUAUUCGACAAAACAAGCAUUUAGACAAGUAAAGCAUAAUGACAAAUAUAAUAUCACACAGAGCGAGGAGAGAGAGAAAAUUGACAUGGAUCUUCCCUUUUUAUUUCAUUUUUCAAAGACACAACAACAUUGGUAAUAAAUUAAUACAAGACGAAAUUUAAACUAAUGAAGAAGAGCUAAACGAUUAUGCAGAAAGUUUUAUCAGCAAUGAAGUAUUUUAACAAAAUAUCCAAACCGAAUCAGCUACACAACAACACAGCAAAGCGAGAGCAGUUCAAUGCUUUAGACUUCUUUUCUUUUAAACCGUAAUGUAUUUUUUUCUUUUUAGUGUGAAGAGUGUGUAAGAGUGCUCAACUGUGUGAUGGUUCUAUCCUUCUUUUAUAAUGAGAAAAAGGGCCAUUUUAUAUAAUAGAAGAACAGAGCAUUCAAAGGAAAACAAUAAAUUAAGGAGUCAAUUAUAAUUUAUUUCCUUAAACAAUCGGGAACCGAAUCAAAUUCUAUAUAAUUUAUUUUAUUUUAUUUUUUUACCAAAUAUAAAAGCAAGUGAGAAUCUGCAUAAUAAAUAAAAAAAUGUUAAUAUUCUUUAAUAUUCACAAGCAAUUUAUUACCAUAUAAUCAGACAAAUCAGAAACGGGCAAGAGACAAUUAUGGAAAUAAAAUCAAUUUACUGGAUCAAGCAAAGAAUCAAUUCAAUUUAAACAAACUGCAUUACCUUAAAGAAAGCCAUAAAUCAUGGUUCAAGCAACUAGAGUUAUUGACCAUUUCAAAUAAUCAAUUAUAUGCGAGAAAACAUUAACAGAUUAGCAUAAUUAGGAGAAAUCGAAGCAACAUUUAAUCGGUUGAUUAUGCAUUACCAAUAUCAGCAGUCAUAUUAUCAUCCAUUUGAAGUCUUAAAUCAUAUGACACCAUAUCAUUAUCAAGCUAACAAACAAAUCCGCAAAAACAUGAGAAAUCAUAACUAGUACGGUUCACAUUUAAAAUGGAAUAACCUUUCAUAAAGUGAGCAUGCAUAACAACAUUUAUACAUCAGAAAAUCCAUGCCAAAUUGUGAAUGAAAAUAAGAACAAAGAUUAUUAAAAGAUGAGAUAAUAAUUUUAAAGAACUAUACCUGGACAGAUCUGUUAGAGAUCCGUCUUUUAAACCAACUCAAAAUUUCAAAAGCUCCAGCGGAGCUCGCUUGUUCAGAGCUUAUUGUUUCUAUUUGCUGGCGUCACUGACCUCACAUGGCCACUGGUUCUCGCCAGAAAGAGAAGAGAAGCGAGGCGGCGCUGGCUCUAUCUUCUCGCCGGUGGCUGCUGCUUCCUUGCUGCUCGUUGUUGUUGUUGUUUGCACCGACUGGAGUUGCUGCCAGCGAUAGAGGCUUGCUGGUGGUUCUCGCCAGCUGCUGGAGGUUUUGUUGUUCGGAUCUUGCUGCUGUCGCCGAAAAAAUAGGAGACCGACGCUGGCCUGCUGCUCGGAGCAACGUCAUUGCUGCUCUCCGGUGGCUUCACUGGUCGGAGUUGCUGCACGUGCUCGCUUGGCUGCUGUAUCUUUGCCGACUGCUUGCUGCUGCUGGUCCUGUGAAGAGAGUAGAGAAAAGAGAAGAAAAAGGGACGAGAAGAGAUGAGAGGCGGAUCAAAGAGGAAGAAUGAAGAAUUAAGUUAAGGUUUGGGGGUAUUUUGAUUAAAAUAGGAAAGUUAGGAUCUUAAAUCAGGACCAUUGAAUCGUUUUUAGAUGAAAGGCUGAGAUUUAAACCGAAUGAGAUAGACGGUCAAGAUUUAAAGGAGGGAUCUUAAAUCAGAUUGGAUUGGAUUUGAAAUGGCCAAAAUUGAAAUAAAAUUGGCUAGAAUUGCAAUGAAAGGGUGGUUAUUAUUGAAAUAAAAUUGAAAUUGAUUAGGCUAGAAUUGAAAGGAAUUAGAAUAAAAUAGGCUACAAUUUAAAUGAUUUUGAGGGAAAUUAAAGAAAUGCUAUCUAAUUAAAAUACUACAAAUAUUAUAACAUUUUAUAUAAUCACUUAAAUUUUAAAACAUUUAAAUAAAAUAAUUAAUUUGAGUCUUACUAAUAAUUUUUUAAAAUAUUUUAAAUAAUAUUUAGGAUAAUUUUAUAAAGCAUGCAUACUAAAAUGUAUAAUNNNNNNNNNNNNNNNNNNNNNNNNNNNNNNNNNNNNNNNNNNNNNNNNNNNNNNNNNNNNNNNNNNNNNNNNNNNNNNNNNNNNNNNNNNNNNNNNNNNNUUUAUAAAGCAUGCAUACUAAAAUGUAUAAUUUUAGAUAAAAAUAGAUUAAAAAUUUAAUAUGUUUGAAAAAACGUAUUUAACCGAAUAACACUUCCGAAAGGGGUAUAGGUCGGUCAAAAUUGGGUGUCAACAGUGUGUAUCCUAUUUUAGGGUGGAUGAACCCAAAUGUGUGUAUAUCUUAUUUUAGGGUGGAUGAACCCGUCUUAUCCUAUUUUAGGGUGGACGAACCCAUGUAUCCUAUUUUAGGGUGGAUAGACCCAUGUCCUAUUUUAGGGUGGAUAAAUCCAUGUCCUAUUUUAGGGUGGACGAACCCGUGUAUCCUAUUUUAGGGUGGACGAAUACGAUAUAUCCUAUUAUAGGGUGGAUGAACCGAUGUCCCAUUUUAGGGUGGAUGAACCCGGUGUGUGUCCUAUUUUAGAGUGGACAACCCCAAUAUGUCCUAUUGAAGGCAGACAUGCCUAAUGUCCUCCGAUUGUCUACAAGGACUAGUUGUAAUGAGGCCUCCGAUUGUCUUCAGGAUUUGAUAAAGUGAUUCCUCCGAUUGUUUUCGAGGCUUGAUGACAUUUUUUAUAAAAUUGUAGAGUAAAAUUAUAAAUAAAGUAGUGAUAAAGUAAAAUAAAAUAAAGGUAAGUGAGAAAUAAAGUUGUGGGGCUGAGUGAUGUCUUCAGUUAUCUUUGGAAGCUUAUUGUUGAUUCCUAUAAAAUUCAAUAAUAAAGUAGUUAAGGGGGAUAAAGUGAAUUAUAAAGGUACUUAAUGAAGUAAAAAAUAAAAUAAUUUAAGUUGCUCGUUUGUUGUUUAUGUUGAUAAUUGUAAAUAGUUGAACAUCGACUUAGAUCUUCGAUAUUUAAGCCUUGAUGUUCAAUUUACUGGAUCGAGUGGAGCAUAUAAUGGACUUGAUUCUUAUUCAAUAAAUCAAGGGGAUUUUUCCUGCAAAUUUCGGGUAAAGACAUUAGUAAAAAUAUAAAGUCAUGAUGAAGUAAAAGAAAUAAAGUCAGAGAUAAAGUGAAAGGUUGGGUCACUUGGCUUAUUCAGGCGAGGUCCUGGAGGUAAAUGAUGACUUUAAUGUAAUCCAAUAGUGACUUCUUGUAUCUUUGUUGUUCCUGCACUCAAAGAAACAUUCUUAGUUGGGAGGGGGUGUUGAUUCGUAUUGACUCAAAGCUUAACUUUGUUGGCCCUCCGUUCAUCUUGUUUGUUCAGACCUUGUGAUCUCCUUUUGAGACCUGGUAGUUGAACAGUAAAAAGAGUAUAUUUUUUAUAAAAUAAAAGUAAAAUAAGGAUUAUCAUCUGAAAGAGACAUUUGUUAGUAUACAGAAAAAUAUGUAACUCUAUGUUUAUAAGUUGUAUAAAAAAUAUUUUCUAUCAAUUCUUAGAUUGUGACACUUCUGAAACAAAAUGAAACAUCCUUUGUAUGUUUUCUUCUUUUGGAGUUGCUUAAAUACAAUGUAACUUGACAAUAUUCAAUCAUUCCUUGCCUAUGUUUUCCAAAAUCUGCCUAGUGUUGAUUUCAAAGAAGUAUACUAAACUUCUGUCAUUGUGAGACCGAACCUUAUAUAGUUUGCCUAUAUAUCUCGCCAAGAGAAUCAGAUUAGUACGUAGUUCAAGGUACAUAGAAAUGAUUUGAAUUUUUUUAUUAAAGGGACCGAACUCGAUAUGAGUUGCCUACAUAUCCCGCCAAGGAAAUCAGGCCAUGUGUAGUUCAAAUUACAUAAAUAGUAAAAGGAUUUUGAAUUUCUAUCUUAAUGUGACUGAACCGUAUAUGGGUGGCCUACGUAUCCCGUCGAGGGAAUCGAGCCAGGCAUAGUUCUGCUAUUACAAAUAAGGAAAUUUAGAAAUGUUACUGUAGUAAAACUGAACCCUAUGUGGGCUGCCUAUAUCCUACCAAAGCAAUCAGGUCAGAAUGUAGUUCGUAACUUACCUGAAAAGUGGAAGUUACAUUCAAAAGAAACAUAUCUAAAGUCGCCCUUUGGUGUAGUGUCUUGACUUCUCUUGAAUGGGCAAACUUUAUGCUCGGACAUUGUCAUGUUCCUCGAUCGAUUGUGAGUUAUCUUCCUAUCCUCCAAAAAUCUUGCGUGGCUUUCAAACUUUUUUCAUUUGUUUCAUUAUGUCAUAAUCAUAAAGUUGAUAGAUUUGAAAAUUAAUAUAUAAAAUAAAUAUUUGAAACUAAAAAGUAAAUUCAUAGAUUUUGCAAUUUAGCUUUCAAAAAAUGAGGCAAAACAACAUAUAGUUUUAAGGCACGAUUUAAGCCUCAAUUUUUAAAAUCGUGCUAUUUCAAAAGUGUUACUACUUGUUCAAUCUACCAAGACCCCCGGUGAACCAAAAACAGAGUACAAGUCCAAUUCUUCAAAGUCUCCUCUGGUUCAGCACCCCAAAUGGUCGGUGUCUCGGUGUUGUAGAGAAGCAUGUAAGCAGUUGUAGAAGUAACCUCUAUCAAUGAUUGUUCUUGGGUUGUCAUGGCAGAAGCAUGAAAGGUCAAUAAGGUAUCCUUUUCCACCUUUCCAAUGGACAUAAUACUUCAUUUCACUUCCAAGUCUUCCUCGAUAGUUAUCAUGUUCACAUUAGCAUUUCGAUGUUUAGGCAGAGGGUUGUUGUUGACAUUGGGCUGAGUUCCAGUAAGUUUGAUUGCUCCUUCUUUAAUCAAAGCUUCAAUCUUGUUUUUGAGACCAUAACAAUCCUUAGUGUCAUGUCCAACAAUUCCAGAAUGAUAGGCACAACGCUUGGAACCAUCAAACCAUUUUGGAAUAGGAUUAGGAAUUUUCCCUUCAAUCGGUUGUAUCAUACAUGCUGUUUUCAACCUCUCAAACAACUGAGCCAAUGGUUCGACUAUUUUGAUAUAGUUACAAGUGGUUUUGAUUUCAUGAUUUGGACGAGCUCUAGGUGCAGCAUAUGGUCUAUUUUGAAAAGUUGAAGCUUGGACUGGUUAGUAUGAAUGUGGUUUAUGGUAAGUAGGAGAUCGAGGGUUGAUAGUAGUUUGUCUAGGUGUUGUAUACAUGGUAAGGAGUUGAUGGAGAAUGAUAGAGAGUUUGUGAGGCUUCACCAAAUUGGUAAGGGAAAAUGGGUUGAUGUGGUUGAUUUAGGUAGGGAUAAACUUGACUUGGCAUGCGUCCUUGGUCAAUCAUGACAUCAGAUACAUCUUCUUUCUUCUUUUUGUUCCCAUUGAUAGAACCAUAUUGAAUCGCUUUGCUUGCAGCUUGCAAGGCUAUAAAGUUUUAGAUUCUUCCUGAUUUGAUUGCUUUUUCCAAGAUUUCUCCCAUUCUAAUAAUUUAUGUGAACUUUUGUCCCAUCAUGGUUAUCAUUUUCUCAUAGUAAAGACUGUUAUCGUGGCAAUCAAUGAAGGUAGCAGUCAUUUCACUUUCACACAUCGGUGUCUCAAUUGACUUCUUCUUUAACUCAGUCGGGUAGAACCUAUCUAGUGUGAUGUCGGUAUUGAACUUGAAUCAAUCCAUAAAGUCUUGUGCCAUAUCACUCCAACCACGCCAUUUAUGGAGUCUUGUUGUGUGGACCAAGCAAAAGCUUCACCAGAUAAACUUUUUAUGAACAACUUCAUUGUGACCCUCUUAUCUCUCCUCACUCCUACCAGUUUGUCACAAUAUGCCCUUAGAUGUGUGGGGGGUCAUCGAUUCCAUUGAAUAUAUCAAACUAUGGUGGUUUGUAUCCUACAGGCAAGGCAAUGUCGGGUUACACACACAAAUCCUCAUAUUCUAAGCUUUUGUUUCCCCUAAUAGUUUGGAGGUUUCUCAUUGCUUCCUUAAGAUCACGAAUCUCUCUAGCUAACACAUCAUCAGCCUUUGCCUUGAUAUCCUUCUCCAUUUCCAUAUAUUGAUCUACCUCGGGUUGAAACUUGAUCGAUAUUGGGUUGGUAAAGGCUUGAGUUUCCAUCGCGUAUACUAGAGAAACUUAUUGUGAAUAAGGAUUGGCAAUAUGUGCCCCUUGUAUAUGCUGAGAAGGAUAAGUUUAGACAAUGGGUGUCUUUUGGAUUGGAGGUAGUGGGUUUGAUGGGUUUACGGGAGUACUUGUAGGUAGUGGAUAGGUGUUAGUGGGUAGAGAAACAUAAGGAGUAUGAGUUGGAGGUUGAUUUUGUGGGUUGACAGGUGGUGGAUUAGGAGGAGUAGCAUAAGUAGUGUAGGUAGGUGGUUGAUUUUGUGGAGGAGUGUAGAUGGGUGGCAAAUUUGAUGGAUUUGCGGGGGGUAGUUGGAAGAAGGUUAUUGUUGAUAGGCAAAGGUUGUUGUGGAGGAAAGUUUUCAGGAACUGAUGAAUCAAGUGAUGGAAAACGAGGUGGGUUUGGUGCAGUACUUCUAGGUUCAGGAAGUGGACUUUAAAGUGUAAUGGGGGAUAGAUUGGUGAAGUCCCUAACCCGAGUUAGUUCACUACGUAGAUCCUCAAUCUCUUGAGUCAAGCGGGAGAUGUGUUCAUCAUGUGGAAUAGUAGUUCUAUCUUCGAAAGUCUCAGGAGAGCCAUUAGGAACCAUGAUAUGUCCUGGACCAAUUUGAUCAAACGAGGUUGGAUUAGCCAUCGUGGUUUUCUUUCCUUGAAUAGCCCAACUACGUCGAGGUAACGCCGAUGACUUGGACCUUGUGAAGUAAGGAUGGUCGGCCAACUCGAUUGUCAAUACGAAUCAACUUUGGUUGAAAAAAAAAAGGAAGAUAGAAACAAAAAUAAUAAAACACAAAUAAUGUUAGUUUUAAAUGAAAAAGUAAAGUCAUGUUCACAUAAUUCAAAUAAAUCAUGUAACAUGCAAGUCAUCAAGUAGAGUCAAAUAUGUUGUAAGAAUAACAUGUAAACAAGUCAUCAAGUAAAGUCAAAUAUAUUGUAAAGAUAACAUCUAAAUGUGUCCUAAUAUGUUUGUGACCUCUUUGUGCUAGAGGUAGGCCUAACGUAGAUUCGAGGAGUAUAUUUGCCAUAAUAUGUCAUCCCAUUGCUCUUGAUUAAUUAAACAAAUUAUUAAUUUUUAAGAAUAAGGUACAAAAUAGUGAAAUUUUUUUAUUACAUGUCGAAUGAAUACAACGUAAAGUACUAAAACAAAGUAAAAGAGAUUUUGUUAGGUCCAUCCUUCUUGGUUCCUUUUGAUGAUAUCGCCACUUUUUGUACUCCAUCGGCAAGUCUUCGUACCUGUCACGGGAAGGUUAGUCAUACCAACCCCUAAAGUUAAAUUAAUUAGAGAAAAUGAUCCAUAUUUAGGCAUAAAUAUUUCUCAAAUAUGCACAUAAAUAAUGAUAGGUCAUCACUUGGGGUCGAAAACUCACUUGGACAUUUAAGGUAAAGUCGACUAAUGGACUUAAUACACCAAGGGUAUAAAGCCUCUUAAGUCAUAAAAUGAUGUUUGCUCCUUGUAAAGUGUAUUGGUUUAGCGCUACUCUAGGUAAACUAGGAGUGGGUUUGCUAGACACAAGAUUUUCGAGUGGACUACUCGAGUGAGAAGGCUACGCGGUCACACGAAAAAAGAUUUGGACACCCCGCUCAUAUGCCAACUCUCCUAAAUUUGAAAUUUUGAAAGAAAUUUACGGGUGCACAAAACACACUUCACGUGUACGUGUGAUAGUGUGAAUUUCCAAGAAGUAGAGAAAUAUGAACGGAAUGACAGUUAAGAAAAGUAAUACUCCCUCCGUUUCAAAAAAGAUUGGUCUGGUUUGACUUGACACGAAGUUUAAGAAAUUAAAGAAGACUUUUGAAUCUUGUGGUCCUAAAUUAAAGUUAUGUCAAAUGUACAAAAUUGCCCUUAAUCUUGUGGUCUUAAACAUGUCACGUGAAAAGCAAAAAGUAAAAUGUUACCAAAAAAGGAAAGAGGUCAUUUUUUUAAACUGACUAAAAAGGAAAGGAGGUCAUUCUUUGUGAAACGAAGGGAGUAACAAAUAAACAUUUAUAACAAACAAACAAUUUAUAGCAUGUAAGAAUAAUUUAUAGCUAAUUAAUAAUUUAUAUCAUGUGAAAAUAAUUCAAAGCAAACAAACAAUCGAUAGCAUGUAAAACCAAUUUUCGACAAAUAACCUAAUUAAAGUAAGCACAUAAAAGUCUAAUUAAACUAAGUCUGUUAUGGUUAGAACCUAACAAGUCCCCAGUGAAGUCGUCAAGUUGUUAUAUCUCAUUUUAACCGGGUCAAAAUAGUGUACAACAUUUUGGUGAUUUCCAAAUUAAUAACUAGCUUAAGAAGUCGCCACCUAAUUAUUACGGUGAAUUAGGGUACCUAAAUUGAUUAAAGUUAUUGUCUAAAGUUAACUCCAUUUUAAGGUCUAGUAAACAUGAGAUUGUAGGUAAGAGUCCAACUAAUCUAAAGAGAAGGGGUUAUGCAUCUUUUAAAAUUCAUUAAAAAUGGUUAAUCGAUCGAACUUGAUUAAUUAAUUAGGCUAAGUGUCAAAAUAAAAUAUUAAAAUGAAAAUUGAAUAUUUGGAUAAAAAUAGUUUAAAAGAAAAGUACACUUUUUUGUCUAAAAAUAGCUUACAUGAACAAACUCAAGUUUAAACAAAUUAUUUCUUGUUUUGUCAGAUCCACAGUAACAAAGUUAUUACCAAGAAAUUUUGAAAUAAAAGCGACCAAAAUAAAAUCAUUUCUUGACUUAAAAUCACAUAUUCAAAACUUUAUUUUAGACGGAUCGAGACCGAAAAAGUUUUGAGACUAAGGGUGUAUUUGGUAUGAAGGAAAAUGUUUUCCAUGGAAAAUAUUUUCCUAGAAAAAGUUUUCCUGGAAAACAUUUUCCUAGAAAAAGUUUUCCUGGAAAACAAGUUGAUUUUUGACUUAUUUUUUCAUGUUUGGUUGGUGAGUAGAAAAUAUUUUUCGAAAAAAAAUUUUAGUGUUUGAUUUAUGAAUGAAAAAUAUUUUUGAAAAAUAUCUUUUAUUUUUACUAGAGUAGAAAAUAAUUUUUGAAAUUGAAAAUANNNNNNNNNNNNNNNNNNNNNNNNNNNNNNNNNNNNNNNNNNNNNNNNNNNNNNNNNNNNNNNNNNNNNNNNNNNNNNNNNNNNNNNNNNNNNNNGGUGUAGGGGGUGGGGGUAGGGGUGAGCGUGAGUAAAAAAAUUGAAUUUAAAAAUAAGCUUUAAAAUUUAUUUAUUUAUUUUGCGGGGGGGAGGGGGGGUGGUUUGAGGUAGAGACAAAAUAAAUUGAUUUUUUCAACAAAAAAAAUAAUUAUAAUUUGAAGUUGGAAGAGAGUUUGGAAAAAUAUUUUCCUUAAGUUUAGAAGGGAAUUCAUUUUCCUUAAAUUUGAGAAAAAUGAAUUGCUUUGAAAAACAUUUAGCCCAAUCAAACUUGAGAAAAUUGGAAAACAUUUUUUGAAAAGUGUUUUCCUUCAUACCAAACACACCCUAAAACUUGAUUUCAAAAGUGGUGUAGAAUACUAAUGUAAUAUAUAUGUUAUAGGCUCAAAAGUAGUUUUAAUGUACAAGAUAGUAUAGUUAUUUAUAUAUAUUUAAAAGAAAAGUAAAUAGAGCCUCCAAAAGGCUUUACUAAAAGAGAAAAAAAGAAAGUCUUUUGUAAACAAAAACUGUACGGCAAAUUACAUAAAUCACAUAUUUUUAAGGCAAAAUUACAAUAUGUUCCUUAAAAGUUUAUAAUUACACAAAUUCUUCAAACGGAUAUAAUAAUAUAAACACUGAUACAUUAAUCUGAUGUGCGAGAUACAUUAAUCGUUAAGUAAGAUACAUUACAUUUUAUACAUGAUACAUUAAUCUGAUGUGCGAUAUACAAUAAUAUAAGCGUUGAUACAUUAAUUUGAUGCGCGAAAAUGAGGAAUUUUGGAGAUUUGUAAAACUUAUAGGGGAUAGUGGUAAUAAGUAAACUAAAAGGUGAAUUUCUGUAAUUUUUCCAAAAUAGUAUUGCAAGUCAACCCCAAAAAAAUCUGAUUUAAUACAUUAAAUAAAAUAAAGGUUAGCUGAUUUUUAAUCACAAAUCAAAUGAUUUGACAAAUUAUCAAAAAUUUAAGGUCAUUAAAUCUAGGAGUAAAAAAAUAUUAUAAACAUGAAUAAGCUACUAACUAGAGGUAAAUUGCUAAGGCAUUCAAGCAGAUUUGUGCAAAUUCUAACAACAAGACAAACAAAUAAGUAAGCAUAACAGCAAGUAAUGUGCUAGAUAACUAAUUAACUAUAAUGUCUCAUUUUAACCGGACACGUCUCUAAAAAUAGGAAAAGCGAAUAGAUGUAGUGUGAAAGAAAUGUAUAUGAUCAAUUCCAUGUGAGGUAUAUGCGAGCUCUAUGCAGUAGUGGUGUCGUUGAGUUUCAAAACUAGACUCGCCGGCUCCAAUUUUCAUGCCAAAUAAACAUGAGAAAAUAGAUGAGGAAAAUUGAUUCUUGAUACUAUAUAAAAGAAGAUAAUAGUCAAUCGAAAGUUAUAGUAAUCACUCCAACAACAUGUUGUAUUCUCAUCUAAGCCAAACUAAAUAUACGUACUUGACACAAAUUAAGUAUACACAAAACAUGCUCCAUAAAUAUAUGUCUAAACACUUUUAUUAUAUCAAAAUAAUAGUUCAAAAUCUUUAGUCAUAGUAAGUACACAUUAUCUACAUAUUAGCAUAUCCUAUUCAAACCAAAGUAGUCAACUUAUCAUUAUUUUUGGACAAAAAAAAAAAGGUAAGGGCCAUCCAACUCAAGUUUCAAAUCUUGCAGGAUACAUAGCAGUACAUGAUAUCUCCGUCCAUAUGAUUAGGAUCAGAUUUUCAAACGACCCUAAAAGACAUUAUAAUAUCACGGAAGUACACAAUUUAUUAACACGUCGUAAUGUAACUACGGACAAAGAAAUAUCCAACUCAUUAUUUUCUAACACAACCACGGAUGCUUAAUUAAAUAGUCAGAAACCAAAAAGAUUGAACUUUACCUUUUGUAGUGCAGUAAACUAGGGACGUU